Molecule: ribosomal RNA, 186 nt
Filed under: Staphylococcus aureus
Lineage: Bacteria; Bacillati; Bacillota; Bacilli; Caryophanales; Staphylococcaceae
Description: partial 16S ribosomal RNA
Rfam family: Bacterial small subunit ribosomal RNA
Source: RNAcentral
UUUAUGGAGAGUUUGAUCCUGGCUCAGGAUGAACGCUGGCGGCGUGCCUAAUACAUGCAAGUCGAGCGAACGGAUGAGAAGCUUGCUUCUCUGAUGUUAGCGGCGGACGGGUGAGUAACACGUGGAUAACCUACCUAUAAGACUGGGAUAACUUCGGGAAACCGGAGCUAAUACCGGAUAAUAUUU